GACUCUGCUCUCCUCGUUUGGAUUGACUCUGAUAUGAUCACUGUUUGUUUAUUUAUCCAGUCCCUCCAGGAAUUGGCGAUGUUACGAUGGCGCGAAUUCACGCGAAAUCAACCAAUCACCGCGACCUUGCAAUUUUAACCAAUCACCGCAACUUUACCGCAAUUUUGGCCCGCCUCCCGUGAGUUCCACCAAUCAUAGCAGUCUCCAGCGAAAACGUAAUGCACGUACGUCACCGAAUUCACUUCCUUGUUUAUGGUUUGAAGACGCAAACAUGUCCCAUUCUAAUGUCUCUCAUUUACCAACAAAAAUUACUACUGAAGUCUGUGCAGAACAAUUAAUUCCCUGAUGUUCUUCACCAAAGCGGAAGUAAACAGUUUUACACCCGUGCAAUGUUGUGGUGGAAUACAAAAAAAGAGAAAAAUCAUCGAUUGAUAAACACUUUUUUACCACGAAACACAUCAGGAGAAUGUCUGAAACGAGCGGACCACAGACCAGACAAAUGAACAUGAUGGAAACGGCUGCAUCCAGAUCUGUAGGAGCACUGAGAGGAUGAAGAGUGAAAGUAGCAGUUCCUCCUGAAGGUCAGUGAUUGCAGCAUCUGAGGGCCUCUUCAAAAGAAGACGUAGUUGAUGAAGGCGUUCUGGAGCAGGACCAGAAAGACCACGACCAAGCAGCCUUGAGAUCUUAGGCAGCGUCUCCCUCAGACCAAAGAACUACAGACUCUUCACAACCUGCUCAAACUCUUGGUACAGGACCUCACCACACGGGUCAAGAAGGUUUCCAUCUCAUUUCUACUCUGAAGCUCACCUUCUCCUGCUCAAACUGCUGACAAAUGUUUCUGCUGCUCUAAAGUCUGGUCUCCAGAACUUCCUAAAAACUCUCAAAGUCUCUGCUGCUGCAGGUUGCUUUGUAGAACUGUUGCAGAAAACCUCACUAAACCACAUGGAGGGGCCUCAAGAUAGUCGUCCAAAUGAAACCAUACAAAAACCAAACUAGCACAACCCAAACGCUAAAGUCUCCUGCAGCCUACCAGAGAAGUUCUGAGAACAGAGAAUCAGGACAGAAACUCUUACCUUCUGGACAACCAAUGCUGGUUCUCAAACAAGAAUACAGAAUGUGUCUGACCAAAAACCUCUGAAGACUCACUACAGCCAAGAUAAAGACACAACUCACCUGCACCAAAUCCACUAAUCACUGCACACAUUAUCACCAUGUGCUAACUGCGGCUAAAGAACCACCUUUACCAAGACAACUAUCCAGUACAAAGCCCUAAAACACACCAAAAAACACAUUAAAGACGAUUUUACUGCUGGAAGCUGCAAGCCAACGCCUAAAGAACAAACUAAGCAACGGAGCCAAACCCAGCUCAGUGGUGAAGAGAAACAGAGGAAAUGUUUGUCUGCAGCUAAACAAAGCAGGAAGACACUGAGCUGCUCAGGUGUUCCUGAUAAUACCAAUCAGCCACCUGGACAGCCAAUAGGAACACAGCUUCCUGGAAGUCCAGAGGGCUGGCUUAGUCAAGGAAAUUUAGUUUAAAGUUGAAGCAGAAAGUUAACAAAAAGUUGAAAACCACCUUCUGAUACCUGAAAUCUCUGAGUUUUCACACAAAGAACGCCUGAACAUGUCAAACUGGUUCCAUAGUAGAACCAUCAUUGUAAAAACGUCAUAGUAUGGUGUGUUGCUCAAAAAACAUUACGACCUGGCUGUCUUGGGUCGCUGAGGAGCAACACAAAAACAGGACAAAUGCUGGUUUCCAGGGGGUUAGGAGGAUAUUUAUUUGAAAGAGGAAGUUUACAACAACACGUGUGCAGAAAAUGUCAUCCAAAUUGUGACAAAAACGUCAUAGUUUAGUAUGUUGUCCAAAAUGUAACAAAAAUGUCAUAGUUUAGUAUGUCGUCCAAAAUGUAACAAAAUGUCAUAGUUUAGUAUGUGCUUCAAAAUAUGACAAAAACGUCAUAGUUUAGUAUGUGGUCCAAAAUGUGACAAAAAUGUCAUAGUUUAGUAUGUGGUCCAAAAUGUGACAAAAACUUCGUAAUUUAGUAUGUUGUGCAAAAUGUGACAAAAACGUCAUAGUUUAGUAUGUUGUCGAAGAUGUAAUAGUUUAGUAUGUCGUCCAAAAUGUGACAAAAACGUCAUAGUUUAGUAUGUGGUCCGAAAUGUGACAAAAACGUCAUAGUAUAGUAUGUGGUCCAAAAGGGGAAAAAUGUCAUAGUUUAGUAUGUCGUCCAAAAUGUCGCUAAAACAUCAUAGUUUAGUAUGUCAUCCAAAAUAUAGCAAAUGGGUGCCCAGGUAGCUCAGCUGGUUGAUAGGGUGACUCGUAAACAGGACUCUGUCAGACAUAGGUUCGAUUCCAGCUCAUAGCCCUUUACUGCAGGUCUUCCUCUUAGCUUACGUAUUGGUGAAAGAGUCCAAAAAAUAACUUUUAAAAAAACAUCAUUGGCUGUCUUCUUAAAUGUGGAAAAAAGUCAUAGUAUGUAGUCCAAAAUGUGGACAAAACGUCAGUUUAGUAUGUCGUCCAAAUUGUAUUAAAAAAACGUAAUAGUUUCUAUACUAUUCUAAACUAUGACAUUUCAGUCAACUGAGCAGCCUUGGCGGAGUACUGCACUCUCUGAGUGCUUUUCUAAUUUGUUUGUGUGUUUAUUUGUGGAAGAAUAUAGAAACACAUGAAAACAUUUUACAGCUUUUUUUUUUUAUCUUUCUUAAAUGGUUAGCUUAGCUUAGUUUAGCUUAAAUUAGCAUAAAGACUGGAGCUAUCGUCACUAUCUAAAGAAAAACAGUUUCAUUUAUAGAGAGGCAGCUUUAUACAGAUUUAUUAGUAAUAUGUGAAAUAUAAAUAAUGCUUUAGAGAUGCUUGAGGGCAGAUUUUUGUCCUCUUCUCAAAAGAACCAGGCUAGCUUUUAGUACCCUAUCAUUAGCAUUAGCAAAUGGCUACUAAAAGUGACGGCCAAACAGAUGACUACCAUUAUCAUUGUUAGGUUGUGGUCGUAGCGGUAUUAUUUCACCAGCACAGCCACCAUGAAGUUUUGAUUUUAUUGUAUUUUCUAGCAUGUAUUUUUGGCACUGUUCUUUUUUUCUAUCGGUCUUCAGAGAUGAAAGAUUAUUUAUCACAUCUUGGUUCAUUCAACAGAAGUGAAAUAAAUGGUAACUCUAGCGAAAUCUAAGAGAAAUCCAAGAGAAAAACACGCCUGUUUUCAAAUCCAAAGUCGUAGUUAGUCUGAGGGGCUUUCAAAGACUGAAGGCCAGUGUAUUAAAAAUCAAUCCGGUGUAUCUAUGGAUGUACAGAAACAUAUCACAGUAGUACUUCAGUACUGAGAAAAAGCUGUUUUUAUGACCUAAGGAGAAACUUUAUUGCAAGUGGGUGUUUGCAGUUCAUACACGACGGACAACACAGAUAUUAUCACUGGUGGAUAAUAAAAUAAUAAAAUCUAAAAUAUG
This is a long non-coding RNA of Amphiprion ocellaris (clown anemonefish), 3435 nucleotides long. RefSeq lists it as uncharacterized. The record is from RefSeq and is a predicted model, not a curated record. NCBI's taxonomy places the organism in Eukaryota, Metazoa, Chordata, Actinopteri, Pomacentridae. The transcript is spliced from 3 exons.